Molecule: ribosomal RNA, 253 nt
Filed under: uncultured bacterium
Lineage: Bacteria
Description: partial 16S ribosomal RNA
Rfam family: Bacterial small subunit ribosomal RNA
Source: RNAcentral
GACGAACCGUGCGAACGUUGUUCGGAAUAACUGGGCUUAAAGGGAGCGUAGGCGGGCUAGCAAGUCUGGGGUGAAAUCCCGCGGCUCAACCGUGGAACUGCCUUAGAUACUGUCGGCCUCGAGGGAGAUAGGGGCAUGCGGAACUAACGGUGGAGCGGCGAAAUGCGUUGAUAUCGUUAGGAACUCCGGUGGCGAAAGCGGCGUGCUGGAUCUCUUCUGACGCUGAGGCUCGAAAGCUAGGGGAGCAAACGGG